Molecule: small nuclear RNA, 23 nt
Filed under: Arabidopsis thaliana (thale cress)
Lineage: Eukaryota; Viridiplantae; Streptophyta; Magnoliopsida; Brassicales; Brassicaceae
Description: snRNA_00918
Source: RNAcentral
UUGAUCUCAUGUGUAUGAUUGAG